UCCACUUUGAUUUGGUUUCGUAG
This 23-nucleotide non-coding RNA is filed under the name Rattus norvegicus (Norway rat). Lineage: Eukaryota; Metazoa; Chordata; Mammalia; Rodentia; Muridae. The record is from RNAcentral.